CAACGAGCGCAACCCCUAUCCUUAUUUACCAGCACGUAAUGGUGGGAACUCUAGGGAGACUGCCGGUGAUAAACCGGAGGAAGGUGGGGACGACGUCAAGUCAUCAUGGCCCUUACGAGUAGGGCUACACACGUGCUACAAUGGCGAGUACAGAGGGUUGCAAAGCCGCGAGGUGGAGCUAAUCUCACAAAGCUCGUCGUAGUCCGGAUUGGAGUCUGCAACUCGACUCCAUGAAGUCGGAAUCGCUAGUAAUCGUGAAUCAGAAUGUCACGGUGAAUACGUUCCCGAGCCUUGUACACACCGCCCGUCACACCAUGGGAGUGGGCUGCAAAAGAAGUGGGUAGCUUAACCUUCGGGGGGGCGCUCACCACUUUGUGGUUCAUGACUGGGGUGAAGUCGUAACAAGGUAACCGUA
This 415-nucleotide ribosomal RNA is filed under the name uncultured Alteromonadales bacterium. RNAcentral describes it as "bacterial SSU rRNA". It matches the Rfam family "Bacterial small subunit ribosomal RNA", at positions 1090 to 1504 of the family's 1533-position model. Lineage: Bacteria; Pseudomonadati; Pseudomonadota; Gammaproteobacteria; Alteromonadales. The record is from RNAcentral.